Molecule: ribosomal RNA, 465 nt
Filed under: uncultured bacterium
Lineage: Bacteria
Description: partial 16S ribosomal RNA
Rfam family: Bacterial small subunit ribosomal RNA
Source: RNAcentral
GAUGAACGCUGGCGGCGUGCUUAACACAUGCAAGUCGAACGAUGAAGCUCAGCUUGCUGGGUGGAUUAGUGGCGAACGGGUGAGUAACACGUGAGUAACCUGCCCUUAACUCUGGGAUAAGCCUGGGAAACUGGGUCUAAUACCGGAUAGGAGCGUCCACCGCAUGGUGGGUGUUGGAAAGAUUUAUCGGUUUUGGAUGGACUCGCGGCCUAUCAGCUUGUUGGUGAGGUAAUGGCUCACCAAGGCGACGACGGGUAGCCGGCCUGAGAGGGUGACCGGCCACACUGGGACGGAGACACGGCCCAGACUCCUACGGGAGGCAGCAGUGGGGAAUAUUGCACAAUGGGCGCAAGCCUGAUGCAGCGACGCCGCGUGAGGGAUGACGGCCUUCGGGUUGUAAACCUCUUUCAGUAGGGAAGAAGCGAAAGUGACGGUACCUGCAGAAGAAGCACCGGCUAACUACGU